Long non-coding RNA from Pocillopora damicornis (cauliflower coral), 3621 nucleotides. RefSeq lists it as uncharacterized. The record is from RefSeq and is a predicted model, not a curated record. Lineage: Eukaryota; Metazoa; Cnidaria; Anthozoa; Scleractinia; Pocilloporidae.
AUUACCAAAUAUAGCACUCACCUCAGGGUACGUUGUUAGCGGAGUAGGUGGACUUGUUUAUGUUCCCUUUUUUGUAACAAUGAAUCUGAAAGGAAUCAUGACGAUAAAAAGUUAGUUCUUCUAAAAGUGUAAGAUUGGCUAACUAUACGCUUUGAUGAUAACUUACAAGCAGAUCAGUCAAGCGCAAAGUGCGCUUCAAUCGGGAUGGCAAAAGAAACCUUGAGGGCAAUAAGAUAUCACUGAAAUAUCAAGCAACAUGCUAUGUCAUCAUGUUUUAUGUCUAUGCUGUUUUCAAAAGAGGGAAUACCCUGCUGUCUUUUACAAAUGCACAAUUUACUGAACUCGCUUCUUUCACGUGCCAAAGAAACUUUGGACCCGGCCACGCUCUUCGUAAGAUUGUUACAAUACUGUCAGCACGAUUCCUUUCUCCAGGAGAUCAAUCUCACAAAGAAAUGUACGACAAUGUGAAAGUACCUACCCAGCUUUGUAGCCCACGUGAGACUUGCUCCGCUCAACUUUCGAAAGGGCGCCUAUACAAAGCUAAAACUGUUUUCGACCUUGUGCGCUUGAGGUCUAAAUUAAUGCUUUAAAGACCGACUUGCUUUGAGCAUGAGAAAAGCAGUGAAAACCAUUUAACAUCCAACUAAAAAUAUAUAUGUCCUGGAGGGAUUAAAGUUAAACACCGGAUAACCUUUUCAAAAUCGUUCAUCAAAUAACAAAAUAUCGCUCUCUUGACUCGUGAACUACCGCGACAGAAUACGCAUAAAGCUGAGGUAUACGUCAGUACGAUAUUUUGCCCUCCACAGUUCCUUUUUUCCUUCAUAGGAUUUAUAGGAUCGAGAAGAAUGUCUCCCAGGGACCGUAAAAAUUUGCGUGUAAUCGUCAAUACUUAAAAUAAUAUACUUAACUCAACAUCAGAAACACGUUUCGACAGAAAAACUAUACAAUCUGUUGUACUUCGCUCAACUGAGAGGUAACAUUAACUCUUAAGACUAACGCUUGAGACGUCACCCAGCUUCAGUAGAAACUCUUUAGAACUGCAUUAUCAUCUCACUUGAUAAAACCAAACUAUCUUAUGAUACCCCCUACCGACGCAAUACCACAGCUUCUUUAAAUUUACCUCCCUUUAUUCAUGAGAGGUACUAUGGUUACACAGUAGUAUCCUCUCCACUGGUAUGAGAGAUCAUCAUCAGAAUUAAACGGCCGACGAUUUUUUGGACCAUUUUCAAGUAAAGACACAGACACUUUCCUUACAACAGAAUGGGACUUUGGAAAAAUGCUACGAACAAAAACACCGAAGAGGAAAUAGAAUGAACACGCACUGUACUAAAAUUACCCUUUGAAACAUUUUGGAUACACGUUAACCCCACAAAUAGUGCGUACAUUACAAAAGGAAUUUUUUACAUCGGUUUGUUGAAAAAAUAAACCUCAUCUUUAUCAUAUAUGAUAUCUCGAAAUAUAAACCCAACAAUCCACUUUCAUUUCACGCCCAGCGUAAAUCAAAUCACGUGCCCCUCAACUAGUUUCGUCUAGGAACCACGCAAUCAAAGGUAAGAAUUUUGCUUGCAAGCGGAGACAGAAAAGCAGGAGAUAAUUUAAAACAGGGAGCUAGUUAAAGACAAACAGAAUUUCGAGGAAAACUCUCUCCUCAGUUAAAUAUUUUCGAUACCAACUACAGAGUUCUAGAAAUGCACUACAUUCGGCCGAUAAUAAACAAUCGAUUUUUAAGCUCAUACCUUUGAGGUCCUACCUGGAUUGGUCGGUCUGGUUGCGAUUGAGAAGUACUCAAAUAGAAUAUUUGUAUAGGCGAUAUAAAUAGUUUGUACGUCAAAGGCUUGGAAUAACAUUUUGUAAAAGAAACAAGGGGAUAAAUCUUGCCCCUUUCUGAAAUUUUCUGACGCAUCUUUCUAUUAGCUAAACAUAACUGUUAGCUAAGUAGUUUAUUACUGUACAAUAUCAGAAGUUUCCCAAGCAGUAAAGGACUGCUUUCGUAAUCCGAUCGAGAACAAGGCAUACUUCAAAUAUCAAGCUGGGCUGUUAAAUAUCGCUCAUCGUCUGAGAGGAAUCAAGAAAUCAGGCAAGAGGUAAUAAUUGUAUUCAUUUGUUGUCUUUUAAAGAACUUCGAUGACCAGAGCUGAAUGUGAGAGUUUUGUUAGUAUUCGACAGAAAGGAUUGUCGAUGGCAUUAGUGCAACUUGAGCUGUUUUUGCUUGUUAGAGCACACUUCUUAAUUAUCUGAAAACCUGACGCAUUUGUUGGCUUGAAUGUUAUGGGAUAACACGAGAGGGCAACACAAUCACAUGACAUAAAUCUGCUAUUCUUUAAAAUAAAUUGAAAAAAAAAAAAAAAAGAAACUUAACACAAAGGUUAAAUUGCGUAAAGCACAAUAUAAUUGUUGAACAAUUGCCAUAGCAUUAUUGAUUGACUUUGAUUUUAUCUACCUAAUCAAUGGCAAGUAUUUUCGUUUGCAGUGUGAUUAAAAGUUAGCAAUUCAAAAAAAUUAAUGUUUUAUAGCAAACGGUUACAUCCUCUACUUACUCCUUAUAAGCUGAGAUGAAUCCGACGGCUAGUGUUGUCGUUGCUAUAAACUUGUAUUGAUUGUUAAUCUUAAAAAGACUUUCCUUGGACACAGAUCAAAUCUUUGAUGACAAGUACUUCUCUUUUAUGAGCCAUGUCGAAUAUCCGGAAAAACAUGGACUUUGUCUAAUGUUGGUGGAAACGGAACAGCGACAAAAGUAGAUGGUAAACGAUCCAAACAUAUGAAGUUCAGAAGUCUACGUGCGGCAAGUGAAAAAGCGAUUAGAGCCACGUUACUGAGGCAAGAACAACUCGUCAACGCACGAGCUCAACAUGUAUGACGAUAUCAUAACAGAAAAAAUUCUUCAAGCGACUACUCAUUAUAAUGAAAGACAGAUCAGCCAAUCGUAGUCCAGCGAAAGCGAAUACCAAACGUAGACGGUCCAAACGACGCGAUUCUUAUCUAGGAUUCUAUUAUUACUUAACAAAAAAGAGAUGACAAACUCGAAAAUUUCGUCUGGGAUCGAGUAUUACAUGUAUAUAUUAAAUAAAUUCUUGUUCAGUAUGUCUUUGCCGGCUUUCCGGUGAUUUAGACAGAUCCGCUUUCUGUCAGCGGAUGACACAGAAAUCAAAGGUUUCCCUUUUAUAACAAGGGACCUUCAGCAAAGCGGUUAGUUAGAUUUCUCUUUAGAAGAUUGCUUUCUUUGCUUUUCUCGUGACCGUGGGAACCGUCCCAAGGGUUAAUAUUGCGAGACAAACGAUCAAUAUAAAUUAUUGACUUUUUGAUGAUGUUGCAUGUACAAUCAGCUGCACAUUCCUGACAGUUUACUUCAGCUGGCAUUAUUUUUACCACUACAUGUGGUAGAUAAGUCCUUUCGCAACUUUUCAUAUUUAAUUUAGUCCGCUAGCAUACCAAUCUGAUAGACGUUUUGAACAAGUAACAUCAUUCAUGGUACCAUAAAACUAAGCUAACGUUCCCAAUAUCAUCUCUCAUUUAAGCCUUCACCAUGUUGAUGUCGUUUAGUGACAUUUGAAAGGCUGCUGAAUCGAACUUCUAACCAUCACAAAAAUCCUUCCAAGAGAAAAAAAGAAGUCGCAAAAAAAA